UCCUGGCUCAGGAUGAACGCUGGCGGCGUGCUUAACACAUGCAAGUCGAACGAUGAAGCCCAGCUUGCUGGGUGGAUUAGUGGCGAACGGGUGAGUAACACGUGAGUAACCUGCCCUUGACUCUGGGAUAAGCCCGGGAAACUGGGUCUAAUACCGGAUAGGAGCGCCUGUCGCAUGACGGGUGUGGAAAGAUUUUCGGUCAUGGAUGGACUCGCGGCCUAUCAGCUUGUUGGUGAGGUAAUGGCUCACCAAGGCGACGACGGGUAGCCGGCCUGAGAGGGUGACCGGCCACACUGGGACUGAGACACGGCCCAGACUCCUACGGGAGGCAGCAGUGGGGAAUAUUGCACAAUGGGCGGAAGCCUGAUGCAGCGACGCCGCGUGAGGGAUGACGGCCUUCGGGUUGUAAACCUCUUUCAGUAGGGAAGAAGCGAAAGUGACGGUACCUGCAGAAGAAGCACCGGCUAACUACGUGCCAGCAGCCGCGGUAAUACGUAGGGUGCGAGCGUUAUCCGGAAUUAUUGGGCGUAAAGAGCUCGUAGGCGGUUUGUCGCGUCUGUCGUGAAAGUCCGGGGCUUAACCCCGGAUCUGCGGUGGGUACGGGCAGACUAGAGUGCAGUAGGGGAGACUGGAAUUCCUGGUGUAGCGGUGGAAUGCGCAGAUAUCAGGAGGAACACCGAUGGCGAAGGCAGGUCUCUGGGCUGUAACUGACGCUGAGGAGCGAAAGCAUGGGGAGCGAACAGGAUUAGAUACCCUGGUAGUCCAUGCCGUAAACGUUGGGCACUAGGUGUGGGGACCAUUCCACGGUUUCCGCGCCGCAGCUAACGCAUUAAGUGCCCCGCCUGGGGAGUACGGCCGCAAGGCUAAAACUCAAAGGAAUUGACGGGGGCCCGCACAAGCGGCGGAGCAUGCGGAUUAAUUCGAUGCAACGCGAAGAACCUUACCAAGGCUUGACAUGUUUUCGAUCGCCGUGGAGACACGGUUUCCCCUUUGGGGCGGAUUCACAGGUGGUGCAUGGUUGUCGUCAGCUCGUGUCGUGAGAUGUUGGGUUAAGUCCCGCAACGAGCGCAACCCUCGUUCCAUGUUGCCAGCACGUUGGUGGGGACUCAUGGGAGACUGCCGGGGUCAACUCGGAGGAAGGUGAGGACGACGUCAAAUCAUCAUGCCCCUUAUGUCUUGGGCUUCACGCAUGCUACAAUGGCCGGUACAAUGGGUUGCGAUACUGUGAGGUGGAGCUAAUCCCAAAAAGCCGGUCUCAGUUCGGAUUGGGGUCUGCAACUCGACCCCAUGAAGUCGGAGUCGCUAGUAAUCGCAGAUCAGCAACGCUGCGGUGAAUACGUUCCCGGGCCUUGUACACACCGCCCGUCAAGUCACGAAAGUCGGUAACACCCGAAGCCGGUGGCCUAACCCUUGUGGGGGGAGCCGUCGAAGGUGGGACCAGCGAUUGGACUAAGUCGUA
RNAcentral lists this ribosomal RNA (1459 nucleotides) under Micrococcus flavus. Its description in RNAcentral is "bacterial SSU rRNA". It matches the Rfam family "Bacterial small subunit ribosomal RNA". The record is from RNAcentral. Lineage: Bacteria; Bacillati; Actinomycetota; Actinomycetes; Micrococcales; Micrococcaceae.